This 106-nucleotide small RNA is filed under the name Marmota monax (woodchuck). Lineage: Eukaryota; Metazoa; Chordata; Mammalia; Rodentia; Sciuridae. The record is from RNAcentral.
GCCAGGUGUGGUGGCACAUGCCUAUAAUCCAAGCUACUUGAAGGCUGAAGCAGGAGGAUUGCAAGUUUGAGGCCAGCUUUGGCAAUUUGGUGAGAUCCAGUUUUAA